Molecule: long non-coding RNA, 13045 nt
Filed under: Salvia miltiorrhiza (redroot sage)
Lineage: Eukaryota; Viridiplantae; Streptophyta; Magnoliopsida; Lamiales; Lamiaceae
Description: long non-coding RNA (SMIL_LNC007324)
Source: RNAcentral
CUCCCUCAUCUCUCACUUUCCUCCAUUAUCAACCAUUGGAGAGACCUUCGGAGCUUCCAAAAAUCAUACCAAACACAUCAAUCCAUCCUUAAAUCUUCCAUAAACACCUCCUAGCUACUUGAAUUCAAGAGAAUCAUUGAAGAGUGGCUUCAAAGCUAGAGUGAGAAAGUGUGAAGUUUUGGUGUAAAGUUGGGUAAGUGAUCAUGUAAUCCAUAGAUAUAGCUUAAAUGAUGUUGUAUGUGAGUAUUCUUGAAAGAUUGAAGCAAGAAAAUCACCCCCUUCCUCUUUCUAAAAUUUUCGAAAAUUUGGGUCUUCAACCCUUCAAAAAAAUUUCUUUUUCUUUCCUUGUUUUGGGGUGAAAAAUGAGAUCUAUGUGAUGUUUGUUGAUGAUUGAUGUGUGUUGUGAAGUAUAUGUCUUGAGAUGUGAAAGUUCGAUGGAGUUUAGUUUACCCAAAAUUGGGAACUUUUGAGUUGAUGAUUAAAAUGAUGAAUUGAUGAUGAAGAUGAGUCCAUGAGAUGUGUAUGAUGAUGAUUGAUGGAGUAAAUUGAGUAUAUGAUGUUAAUUGAUGAUUUUGAUAUGAGUUAGUCUAAUAAAAUUAGGGAUAUGUGUAUCUAUGAUCUAAUUUGUAAAUUGAUGGUUUAUAUGUGAGAUUAAUUGGUUAAGAUUGAUAGAUCUAUGAUUAGAUUAAGGAUAGAGUUUUAUGUUGAUACAUGAGUUUUCAUUAGAGUUUAGUUUACAUGAUAAAAAGGGAAUCUAUAUGUGUAUGAUGAGUUAUAUGAUAAAUGAGAUCAUGUUUGAGUGUUUGAGUAAUUUUGAGCAUGAAAAUGAGAAGAGAAUUUUAAUGAUGCGUUCGUUGAAACGUUUUCCUUGAGAUUUGAGUCUAAAGAUGUGAGAGAAGAGUCGAGAUUGAGUAUGAUGAGUGUUAUGUUGUACUUGAAUGUUUUGAGUGCUAUAAGUGUUUAAAAUGAGCUUUGAUGAGUUUGCUUGAAGAAAUAUUGAGUUGAGCAUGUUUGCUUGUGUGAUGGAGUUCGGAGUCAUUUUUAGUGAUGCACUGACCUACUGUUUUAGAGGGGUUUUUGUUACCCAAACACCAUGAAAAUUUUAUGGUAAGUAUAUUUGAGAGUCUUUAGCAUACCGGUAAAAUUUCAAGUCAUUUGGACGUCAUUUACUACUAGAGUUGAGCCUUUUUCUAUUAUUUUUUCUUUUUUUGAAUAAGAAUGGAAAUUAUUUCUAUCUUUUUUUUAGGGUAAAAAUAGUACACCCACUCGUCCGAUGCACGACGAACAUUGAAAUUAAGAGACAUUUUUAAAUAAAUAAAUAUAAAUAUUAAACAAAAUUAAAAUACAAACAAAUGCAAAUAUAUUCUAAAAAUGAAAUAAAAUACUAUUCACAUCAAUUACUGAAUAAAAAUCCAAAAUUUAAAAAGAUAAAUUUUCAACUUUAUAUAAAGUGUAAUCAUAGUAUAUUGAGCAAUUGAAAAUUAUUCAUUAAAUGUUAAUUAAUUCAAAUAUUUUGUUUCUUUAUUAUAUUAAAGAGUUCUAAAACGAAUCAAUAUAAUAUAAAAACAAUCAAAAACUCUAUUUUCAUUAUUUCCGAGGAGAUUUCUUUUAUGUUCACGAUAUUUCCGGGUGUGAAUUGAUUUCUUUUCUCCAUUCUCAUUUUAUGAAUUUCAGAGAUCAUGACAAACGUUUCUUUNUUUUUUUCCCCUUUACAAUGUUUUAGAAAUUAUCUUAAAAGAAAAAAAAAAAACAAACCUCAUUCUUAAAUGAAAAAGAAAAUGUUGGAAGAUCUGGUGGAGGAUCGUGGGCUUGUUUGUUAGCCACAGACAAUAGAGAGAGAGAAUAAUAAAAUUAGGAAGUGAUUGAAAGAAAAGGAUAAAAAUUGUAUUCUCCAUGUGAGCGAAAAAAUAGGAUAAUGAAGUUGAAAAAAGAAACAGAAUUUUUAAAUAAACUGUCAAACUUCCGUUAAAUAUUAGGAAGACUCUAUUACAAAAAUAACGGUAAAUAGGAUGACGUUAAAUUGCUUCUUUAUAUAUUAUAUAGAUUUUUAUAAAAUGAAAAACUAAAACUGCUACGUUCUGCCGAAUUGUUCGGUGAGUAGCCAAUAAAGUCACCUAUUCCAGUAUCUUUCCUUAACAUUAUGGAACCCAAGUUUUUAUGGUUGAGACAUGAGUGUCUUAGAUAAGUUUUCACCAAAUUUAAGACCUUUUCGGCAAUGUUUACUAUUUUUCAAAAAUCAAAGUUUUCGAUUGCUCAAAACUGCCGAAUAUGGUAGAUUGUAGUAAAACAGUCAUAUCUCCUAAAAUACUUGGAUUUUUUAAUCCUAAUUUUUUUUAAACGAAACCAGACUCAAAGAGGUUUCAUUUGGUAUGGAUUACGACUCCAGUGGAGUUUUGUACCGAGUCUGGUGAGGUUUUGAAUUCGAGUCAGUGCAGAGUGAAGGUUGUUUUUGACUUGUCUAUGUGUGAAUUUUAUAUGCUUAUGUGUUUAUGCUUGUUUAUGUGCUUGAAUGCUAUGAGUAUGAUCCGAGUUGAGAGUUAAGUCGAGAGUAGGACGUGUGAAUCCUUAGAAGUUGAGUAUACCUAGGGAUUGAGUUUUAAUGGGUAAAUAGACGUUGAGUGAAAAGUUAUAGUUUGAGAUGAGAUUGGAUUUAGUAAUUGAGUUUCUGACUAAGGUUUAUUUUAUCACAUGAACCUUCGAUGACGAUGAUGAUGAUUUAUGAAGGCCGAGCGAGACGAAGAAGUAAGUCGCCUGUUUUCUUUCCGAAACUAGCGAAGGACUUCAGGUGGGCAAUACUUUGAGUAUAAGUAUAUCAUACGAGCUUUCUAAAAUGAUUUGAUGAUGUUAUGAGUUUAUCAAAUGUUUUGAGAUAAAUGAUGUUUAAGAACUGUUUGACUUGCCGAUUUUUGUUGAUAAUGACUUGUGUGUUACCCUCUACUGAUGAGACGAAUUCGGUCCUGCCACAAGCGGGAUUUUGUGCACAGAGGUGACUGUGAGCCGUCUUCGGGUCGGCCGGUCACGAUACUUGAGAGGGAGGCCUACUUCUCAGUACCUUUGAUAUUGAUUAAUUGUAGAUGUGGUGCAUACAUGUUGAGAUCUUUGACUGCAGUCGUUUCUUUAUGAUGUCAUGUUUAUUAAAACUGCUUACACAGGUUCUUUUACGAUAAACUUUAUUCAUGUGUAUUGCUGAGAUGUGGCAAGUUUCAAACCUAUAGCUCUAAGAGCACUUUUCUUAUUUUUCGGCGUUCGUCCACUGAGUAUUAUGUACUCACGCCAUGCAUGUAUUUCUAAAUGUGCAGGCUAAGCGAGGAGCGAGAUUGGUCUGGUGCUGGUAGGGAUUUGUUUAGCUGAUGUAUUUACUUUAUCGCAUUUCCUUUUUGUCGAUAAAGUCUUGAUGAAUGAGAUACUUUGUUUUCUUUUGAAUCAAGCAAUGUACUCGCGGUUAUAUGUCUUCAUACAUAUAAUCGAUUCGUCUUUUGCUGCGAUACUCUGAAUAUUAUGAUUCCUUAUGAAAAAUGAGUUAUACCCGCUUUGUUUUUGUUCUUGAAAUUCCUGAUAAUUACGAAGUUAUGACGAUGUUGACAUUUAUACCCCUAGAGUUGAUUUAUGAUGAUUUCCUUAGCACUUUUUCAUGCGAGCUUCCGCUUGAUGUUCAAUCUAUUCUUCUUGUCUUUUAUUCUUUUAAAAUAGUCGUAUCGAUACUCGGUCCACGCUAUCACUAGCGUCGGGGAUCGGGCUGCGACAGGGUGGUAUCAGAGCAGGUCAUCUGCUCUGAGUCUAUUGCUUGACUAAGUUGAACCCUUGAUUGCUCCUACUCUUUUAAAAUUGAGUACUAGUCUAAUUUGAAUUCUUAGACUAGUUUGAGAGAGUCAGUUCGAAACGAAACCCCAGCACCCCAUCUCCUCCGGCUUAACGAGGUAAGAGGUUGAUGUUGUUUCUUGUUGCUUUCCUGUUGAGAGCUGAGUUUGAUUCACUAAUGAGUUGUGUAUUGUUUUGAUGGCGGAAAUGUUUGAGGUGAUGGAUUCUGAUAUGAGGCAGUUGUUGUGCCACCACUUCCCGAGGAGCUGUUUUCGAUUGCACCUUCACCCCCAGCUGAUCCGAUUCCAGUUUCAUCUGAACCUCAGAUUGAGCGAGUGCCCUAUGAUCCUUAUCCGAGGGUCGUUCCCUUACCGGAGCCGGGAACGUUGGAGUUUCAGUUAUUUAUGCAUCCAGUUUUCUACCCACCGUCCCGAGAUGCCCAGGAGGGAGGAUCUCGGCCAGCCCUGCUCGACAGCGACGAGGAGGACCCCGAUGAGGAGACUCUGGAGAUGACGGUCGGCUAUGGACGGACCCAGCCACUGCAGCGUCAUACUACUACCGAUAGAGUUGAGACAUGGGUACCUGUUCCUGAGGUGCCGGUUUAUGGUCCGAUGGUGGACACCGAUGUCGAGGAUGAGCCGAGCGAUGAUAGCGUCUACCGACUGAUUGACGAGUACGAGAGUCAGGAGGCAGAGCCAAGUGAAGAGACGGAGCCGAGCGAGGAUAUGGAGGUCGAUGAUGCGACGAGCAGGACUUUGGGAGAUGAUGGAUAGUGACCACGUUUAUCUCGUAGGCGCGUACAUAUGUAUAGAUGCAUAGUUGAUAUAUAUAUAUAUAUAUAUAUAUAUAUAGGUAGAGAGGCAUAGUAUAGUGUGUAUGUGUAGAUAGUAUAUAUCUAUAGAUGCUUAGUACCUAUGAUGCUUGUAUAGCUAGAGCAUCAUUUUAGUGUUAGGACCUUUGUACAUAGGAUCCUACUUUUGUAAAAGACCUCGAGAGAGAGGCAGUUUUCCUUAUAUAUAUAUAUACAGAGAUGUUGAUGAUUAGUGAGUUUCACUUUCUUUAUCAGAGCUUUGAGAAUGAUGAUGAUGAUGCUGAUGCAAAUUGAUAGAUGAGAAAUAGAGAUUGAUGAGAAUUACGAACGAUGAUAGACGAGAAAUAGUCUGGACAAGAAUUUUGAGAAUUUUGAGAUCACAAACGAGAUAUAGAAGCGAAGUGAGAAAAAGAGAAUUUGUAUUUUGUAAUGACAAACGGCUAGUUUCAAGGCCGAUAGUUAUAUAUUUCUUUUUCCUUUAUAGUAUACCUCCGAGAAGAAGAGGGAACUGAAGGAACAUAAACCGAGAAGAAGAUGAAGAAGAGGAGCAGAGAGACCAACAGUUGAGAUAAUACGGAGAGAGAGCUAGAGAUUUCAUCGCAAUUUAUAGACACGACCUUAAUGGGACGAACGUAUUAUGGAGACCUCAUGGGAUGCAUAGAUACUAUUGACCAAUUGUACUUUGAAAUAGAGGUACUUUCACCGGGACCGCGCGUAUCAUCGCUAGAGUAGUCAUGAGAGUAGACUUAUUGAGUCCCUAUCCCGCUUGGUCGUAUUUAAAUUUUUCUGCAUCCAUUUGAACUCCUACAGGAGAUGAACUAUUUGCUAUUGAGAAAUUUUUCCAGAUCCACUGUGUUCGAGCCUAAGCCGUUUGUGUUGGAAAUCCUUACCCCUUGCUUUAACAGUGGACAAUUUAUUCAUUUUCCACUUAGUGGAUUGCUUCUACUUCCAGUAUUGAUUUACUUCCAUCAUAUCAUAUCUCAGUUUUUAUUCUAGUUUCUGUUCUAGCUUUUGAUCUUACCUUGAUUGUAACUUCUUCAUUAUCCUUGAGAUAGCACUGGCUAUUAUGGAAUCAUUCCAUUACUUGAGCUCGUCUUGUUCAAGAUCAGACAUUUUUAUUCAUCACAUCCUAUUCCCUACCACAUCCGACAAGAGUUAGGAAUGUCUAGGUAACUAGGAUGGUAUAACAAGAAGAGUGUUUGGAAGAAACACGAGUUAUGGGAGCAGUCGUAGGAUAUAUAUUAUUACGGGACGAGCACAACUUUUCGAUUAUGGAUUUUCUUAUAUUAGCCAAGUAUGCAAAAAGCUAACCAAUUCGAGGAUGAGAAGAAGUGAUGCUAAGCCAGAAUAGGCAACAGCAGAUACAAGGAGAUCGAGAUGACAGAUUAGAGCAGAUAAUGUUUUCCACGAUAGCAGACUGAGAUGACGACUAGUAUAGAUGUAGCAUCGUCGUAAUAUUAGGGGAUGUUUUAUUUUCGUUAUGCCCCGCAAUUAGUAAGAGUUCUCGAAAGAGAAAAUUUUCUUAUAUGUCUAUAUGACGAUGACCAGAGAGUCUCUAUGCUUGAGUAGAGCUUUGAUCUGAUGUUGUGAUGAUAGACAUGAACCAUGUCUUUGACAUUGAGUUAUGAGAAUUGAGAAAAUAGUAUGAUGUUGAGUAAGAGUCUUAUGAUUUGUGAGUUAUGAGAAUUAGUUCUAAGGUUGAUAUAUGUUCCCUUAGACUACCGCCAAGAAAGAAAAACCGAAUGAAGAAAGAAAUAGAGUUGUUAAUAUGAGAUAAGGCAAUAAAACCGUAGCUGAAUACGAACGUCAGUUUCGCGACUUGGUUCGGUAUGCCACAUAUCGAGAAGAGAUGAACGAGAAGAUGUCAGAAUUGUUCGAUCAGGUUUGAGACAAGAGGUACGAGACGAUUUAACGAGUCAGAGUGCGGUUAUGUGUACUGAAGCAUUAAAUAGAGCAUUUGAUAUAGAACUGGCAAUGCAGCCAGAGAACGUGAUUUGAGCUUCAGCACCCAAACGAGUUAGAGCACUCAGACGUGCAAUCCAUCCUUUUCUGGACGAGGGCAAGAAGGAAAGAGAGAAAAUGGGACGACCGAAGUCAAGAUCCCAAAAAGCCGUGGCAGAGUAAGAAUGCGCCACCGCAAUAUCAGAACUGAAGCAAACGGCCUUAUGUUGGCCCAACUGCCCCGCAACAGUUUCUUAAGACGAGGAUACGCACUGCAGAAGGCAAUAAGAUUCAUCUGAGAGAAUGCAAGAUGAGAAGAAUAGCUGUUACACCUGGGAAGGGUGGACAUAUCGAACAUGCCAAUCGUCACAAGGGAAGCGGAGAGACCGAGUCAUUUCGCCGCAACUCAAACAAUGGAGGGAAUCUACCGCUACCCACCACAGCGACAACAGCCAGCCUAUCACCACGUCAGUCAAAAGGCAACCACCAGCCCCCAGGAAUUAACCCCAUCACCAGAGACUGUUCGCGCUUGAGCAGAAAGCACCGACAAGAAUCGAGGAAAUUUAUACGUAUAGGCGAGUUAUAAGGCGUACCUAUAGUAAUCUGUUCGACACUAGAGCAUCGUAUCCUUUUAUCUCUCAUAAUUAUGUCGAUACCUUAGAAUUGAAUAUAGAGCCUGCUCCGCAACGUCUAAGAGUAACCACACCCAUAGGCAGAACUACUACGGUUUCACACGUGUGCCCCAACUUAGAAUUUAAGUUAGAAUCGAUUAAGCUCGAGGCUAGAAACCUGAGAUUGAUGCCUAUGUGGCACUUGGAAAUAAUUUUGGGGAAUGGAUUGGUUAGAGGAAAACCAUGCGAAGAUACAAUGCAAGGAGAGACGGAUAUCUUUCCAGCCACCUGGCCAAGAACCUACUUCCUUCAUUGGUAUUGAGGGAAAAUGGAAGGAGACGCCAAUCAUCUCGGCACUGCAAGCCAGGAAGCUCUUACAAAGAAACGAUACAACCGCAUACGUUGUAUAUCUGAACCAGAGUGAGGAGCCUAAGACGAAUAUAAACAACGUGCCAGUCGUGCGAAAAAUAUGAAGAUAUAGAUUACGUUUAUCGAAAUUACCAUCGGGUCGUCAACUUGAGUAAUAAUCGGGCUCGAGACCCGGAACUUAUGUUCCCGUGUUUUAUUCGAUGUAGUGCUUCCCCACGAAGGGCACCAGUUCUCCUCGUUAAGAAGAAGAUUAUGCAGUUUUUACAGACGCAACGAAGAAUGGUCUAGGUUGUGUACUGAUGUAAGACGAAAGAGUUAUAACAUAUAGUUCGCGACAACCAAGACCGCAUGAGAUAAAUUAUCUAACGCAUGACUUAGAAUUAGCAGCCGUAGUGCAUGCUUUGAAGAUCUGGAGGCACCAUCUCCAAGGAGCACGGUGUAAGAUAUAUACCGAACACAAAUGUGUCAAAUUUUCCUUUGAGCAAAAAGAUCUGAACAUGCGACAAAGAAUAUGGUUAGAAUUGGUGAUAGAUUACGAUUGUGGGAUAUUUAACAUCCCAGAAAGGCUAAUGUUGUAACAGAUGCGUUGAGUAGGAAGAAUCAAGGAGAGUUAGGAUUUCUCCUUACUCGAGAAGUGAACCUGAUCAAAGAAUUCGAGAGAAUGAAUUGGAGGUAGUAAUACCACCGCAAACGACGAAAAUAGUGAUUGCAGCACUAAGCAUCACACCUGUUUACGAUCGAGGAUACUCAUAGCUCAGAGAGAGGAUGAAAAGAUGGAAAGGUUGCGAAUGAAGAUUCGAACCGAGAGAGUAGAGAAUUAUCAAGAGACGGCAGAUAAUGCCAUUUUGUUUAAAGAGAGACUGUGUGUGCCUGAUAAAGAAGAGUCGAAGAAUGAAAUCACGAGCGAAGCUCAUGAUACCCCUUACACCGCACAUGCGGAAAGUAUGAAAAUGUGCCAAGACUGAAACGACGCUUUGAUAGGAGAAUAAGAAGCGAGAGAUGGCAUCUUUCGUAGAAAGAUGUUUGACGUGUUAACACGUGAAGGCGCCACUUUGGCAACCUUAUACAAAUUACACCUAUUAGAGACUUCCACAAUAGAAGUGGGACCACAUAGCCAUGAAUUAUGGCAUCGAUUAGCAAAAUCGAGAGAAGAAAAUCCAACAGUUGAGUAAUCACUGAUAGAUUCUUUUGACGUUAGAAACGAUGUUUAUGUGAGUUUUCCCUAUCUCGGGGAGUAUGUUAUUUUCGAGUUAAAGAAAAACUCAAACCGAGAUAUAUAGGACCUUAUGAUAUAUUAGAGAAAGUAGGCCCUGUAGCCUAUAAACUAGCGUUGCCUCCGAGCUUCGCGAACGUCCAUGACGUUUUCCAUGUUUCUCAACUGAGAAAGUACGUGUUUGAUCCAAAACACGUCAUCCAUCAAGAAGAAGUGUCCCUGGAACCAGAUUUGAGCUAUGAAGAGAGACCUGAUGCUAUUCUGGACCGGAAGAUCCAACAAUUGAGGAACAAGUCGAUUCCUUUGGUGAAAAUCCAAUGGAGACAUCACGGUCAAGAAGAAUCAACAUGGGAACUUGAAGAGAAGAUGAAAGAGAAGUACCCAGAGCUUUUUCCCGAAGGUGAAUAACUCAAAUUUCGGGACGAAAUUUUUUUUAAGGGGGGUAGGAUGUAACACCCCGUACUUUUCCUUAUGUUGUGAGAUAGUGUCUUAACACUAUUGAGAGUACUGAGAUGUCGAGAUGCGAGAACUUUUUUUUUAUGACCAGAUAAGACAGAUUGUCUUUUAAAUAGAGAUACGAGUGAAUAAACCGAUGAUAGAGUUAGAGUGAUGAGAUUUGAGAAAUGAGUUGAGAUAGAGAUGCUGAUUGAAUUGAGCUGAGAUUUUAUUUUAUUUCCGAUUACCGGGAAUAGAUUUACCAGAUACCGAGUUAUCAGAGUUUGACUGACCUAUUAAGAAAAUAGGAAUAAUGAGUCUGACAUAGAGUCGAGGAAGAAAGAGUGAGAACCUUGAUGAAAAGAGUCGGUCUGAGAGACGUCUAGUUUGUUUGUGUUUGCCGACUGCUUUGAUGUGAUGUUAUGUGAAUUUACGUGACUGAUUGAUUAUGUGAUUUCUGUGACGUGUGUCAUUAUGACCAAGUUAUUAUGAUUUUUAUUUGAGACUUUAGCACUUGGAAUUUUGAUUAAGUUUCCAAAGCAAGUGCGGUUUAUUUUUACCGAGAAAUCGAAUGAUGCCGGUUUAUGGAAAUUUUUCCAAGCAUAAUAUUUUUAAAUUAUUUUUCCUACGAAGAGGAAUAUUAUAAUUGAGUGAGUGCACUAAUAUUAGUGCUAUAAUUAUUUAUUUUGGUCACAUGAAUAAUUAUGCUAUGGUAUUUUAUUAAUGAGUAAUAUUUCCAUAGUUAUUGUGAUUAUUAUUUAAUCACCCUUCUCACACUUUAUUUUAAUUUCCCAUACCAUAUGAUUAAUAUACCAAAAUUUGCCAAGUGUAGAGAUUGAGAGAGUAGAGAUUGAGAGUGUAAGAUUAUGAGAGAGUAGAGAUUGAGAGUGUAGAGAUUAGAGAGAGAAGUGUGGAGAUUAGAGAGAGAGAGAUCAAGAUUUCCAUAAGAUCUCAAAAUCUUCCAAAGAUUAGCAAGAUCAAUUCAUAUCUCACCAAAUAUUUGCAAGAUCAACUCAAUCUUGCAAAAGCCAAAUCUCUCUCUCCCUCACUAAAUUUUCGGCCAUCACCCCUCUCUCCCUCACUACAAUUUUCGCCCAACACACAUACAUACACUCAUCUUCUUCACCUCACACUUCCACCAUUUUCCUCCAUUAGAGCAAACCUUCGAAGCUUCCAAAAAUACUACUAAACACCUCACAUCACUCUAAAACUUUCCAUAAACACUAUCUAUCUUCAUUUGAUCAAGAAAAUCCUUGAAGAAGAAGCUCCAAAGUAGAGUGAGAAAGUGAGAAAUUUUGGUGAGAACUUGGGUAAGUAACCAUGUUUUCCCUAAAAUCUUGUUUGAAAGAUGAUUGUGUGAGUGUAUUUUUGAAAGAUGAGCAAGAAAAUCACCCCUCCCUUUUCUUUUCCAAAUUUUCGAAAAAGUGGGUCUUCACCCCUUUCAAAAAUUUUUCUUUUUCUUUUCUUGUUUGGGGUGAAAAAUGAGAGUUAUGUGAUGUGUAUUGAUGUUUGUUAUAUGUUGUGAAAUAUGUGCCUUGAGAUGUGAAACUUUGAUGGAAGUUAGUUUACCCCAAAAAUGGGAACUUUUGAGUUAAUGAGUUAAAUGAUGAAUUGAUGAUGUAAAUGAGUCCAUGAGAUGUAUAUGAUGAUGAUUGAUGGAUUAAUUUGAGUAUAUGAUGUCAAUUGAUGAUUUUGAUGUGAGUUAGUUUAAUAAAAUUAGGGAUAUGUGUAUAUAUGCUCUUAUUUGUGAAUUGAUGGUUUAUAUGUGAGAUUAAUUGGUUAAAAAUGAUAGAUCUAUGAAUGGAUUAAAGAUUCAUAUGUGUUUAUAAAAUUUUCAAAGAGUUAGUUUAGUAAAAAUUAGGACUUUUUAGUCUAUGUGUUAUUUAAGUGAUUUUGCUUAAGAUAUAUGUUUUUAAGCAUGAUAGUAGUGUCUUUGUAUUUUUGAUUAAGUCUAUUGUAGGCUAAAUAAAAUUUUGGCUUAGUUUAGUUUGUAUGAUUUUUGAGUUUUUGUAUGAUGUGAGUUUGAUGCUUGAUAAAAUGAGGUCUAAUUGCUCUAUGAUCAUUAUGUGAACUUUAUCCAUGUUUUGUUAAGAGUUUUAUGUUGAUACAUGGAUUUUCAUUAAAAUCUAGUUUACAUGAUAAAAAGAGAAUAAAUAUGUGAAUAAUGAGUUAUAUGAUGUAAAAGAUCAUGUUUGAGUAUUUGAGUAAAUUUCGAGCAUGAAAUGAAAAGAGAAUUUGUUUGAUAUGUUCGUUGAAGACGUUUUCCAUGAGAUUUGAGUUGAUGAUGAAAGAAAAGAGUCGAGAUUGAGUAUUAUGAGUAUUUUGUUGUACUUGAAUGUUUUUAAGUGCUAUAAGUGCUUAAAAUGAGCUUUGAUGAGUUUGCUUUGAAUGAAAUGUUGAGUUGAGCAUGUUUGCUUGUGUGUAUGUUUCGGAGUCGUUUUUCAUGACGCACUGACCUACUGUUUUCGAGGGGUUUUUGAUACCCAAACACCCUGAAAAUUUUAUGGUAAGUAUAUUUGAGAGUCUUGAGCACACCGGUAAAAUUUCAAGUCAUUUGGACUUCGUUUACUAUUUUUAUAAAAUGUAAAACUAAAACUGCUACGUUCUGCCGAAUUGUUCGGUGAGUAGCCAAUAGAGUCAUCUUUUCCAGUAGCUUUCCUUAGCAUUCUGGAACCCAAAUUUUUAUGGUUGAGACCUGAGUGUCUUAGCUAAGUACCCACCAAAUUUCAGACCUUUUUGACAACGUUUACUAUUUUUCAAAAAUCAAACUUUUCGGUUGCUAAAAACUGCCGAAUAUGGUAGACUGUAGUAAAACAGUCAUAUCUCCUAAAAUACUUGGAGUUUUUUGAUCCUACUUUUUUUUAAAUGAAACUAGACUCAAAGAGGUUUCUUUUGGUAUAAGUUACGACUCCAGGGGAGUUCGGUACAGAGUCUGGUGAGGUUUUAAAGUUGAGUCAGUGCAGAGUGAAGUUUGUUUUUGACUUGUCUAUGUGUGUUUUUCAUAUGCUUAAGUGUUUAUACUUGUUUAUGUGCUUGAUUGCUAUGAGUUUGAGCCAAGUUGAGAGUUAAGUCGAUAAUAGGACGUGUGAAUCCUUAGAAGCCGAGUAUACCUAGGGAUUGAGUUUUAAUGGGUAAAUAGACGUUGAGUGAGAAGUUAUAGUUAAGAUGAGAUUGGAUUUAGAAAUUGAGUUUCUUACUAAGGUUUGUUUUAUCACAUGAACCUUCGAUGACGAUGACGAUGUGAUGAUGACAUAUGAAGGCCCGAGCGAGACGAAGAAGUAAGUUGCCUGAUUUCUUUCCAGGAUUAGCGAAGGACUUCAGGUGGGCAAUAUUUUGAGUAUACGUAUAUCGUAUGAGCUUUCUAAAAUGAUUUAAUGAUGAUAAUGAGCUUAUCAAAUGAUUUGAGUUAGAUGAUAUUUGAGAACUGUUUGACUUGCCAAUUUUUGAUGUUGAUUUGUGUGUUACCCUCUACUGAUGAGAUGAGACGAAUUCGGUCCUGCCACAAGCGGGAUUUUGUGCACAGAGGUGACUGCGAGCCGUCUUCGGGUCGGCCGGUCACGGUACUUGAGAGGGAGGCCUACUUCUCAGUACCUUGAUAAUGAUGAGUUGUAGAUGUGGUACAUGCAUGAUGAGUACUUUGAUAGCGCUAUCGUUUAUUUAUGAUAUCUUGAUUAUGAAAACUGCAUGCACAGAUUCAUUUACGCUAAUUUUAUUUCUGUGUAUUGCUGAGAUGUGGCAAGUUUCAAACUUAUAGCUCUAAGAGCACUUUUCUUGUUUUUCGGCUUUUGCCCACUGAGUAUUAUGUACUCACGCCCUGCAUGUAUUUCUAAAUGUGCAGGCUAAGCGAGGAGCGAGAUUGGUCUGGUG